Molecule: ribosomal RNA, 465 nt
Filed under: uncultured bacterium
Lineage: Bacteria
Description: partial 16S ribosomal RNA
Rfam family: Bacterial small subunit ribosomal RNA
Source: RNAcentral
GACGAACGCUGGCGGCGUGCUUAACACAUGCAAGUCGAACGGAAAGGCCCCUUUGGGGGUACUCGAGUGGCGAACGGGUGAGUAACACGUGAGUAACCUGCCCUUGACUUCGGGAUAACUUCAGGAAACUGGGGCUAAUACCGGAUAGGAAUCCUUGCUGCAUGGUGGGGGUUGGAAAGCUUCGGCGGUUUUGGAUGGACUCGCGGCUUAUCAGCUUGUUGGUGGGGUAGUGGCUUACCAAGGCUUUGACGGGUAGCCGGCCUGAGAGGGCGACCGGCCACAUUGGGACUGAGAUAUGGGCCAGACUCCUACGGGAGGCAGCAGUGGGGAAUAUUGCACAAUGGGCGGAAGCCUGAUGCAACAACGCCGCGUGCGGGAUGACGGCCUUCGGGUUGUAAACCGCUUUCAGCAGGGGCGAAGCUUGUGGUGACGGUACCUGCAGAAGAAGCACCGGCUAACUACGUG